Molecule: non-coding RNA, 1715 nt
Organism: Schizosaccharomyces pombe (fission yeast)
Lineage: Eukaryota; Fungi; Ascomycota; Schizosaccharomycetes; Schizosaccharomycetales; Schizosaccharomycetaceae
Source: the annotation of a GenBank genome assembly
AUUCAGAUUCAUUGACUUCCUGAUUAGACAAUUCCUUUUGUACUUGCUUAGCAUAAGUUAGAAUUCGAUCUGUUUGAUUGACUGGUAAAAUGACAGCAUGUCUAGGACUUAGCCAAAAUGGCCAGUGUCCAUUUAAAUGCUCGAUAAGGAUUCCCAUAAAGCGCUCUAAGGAUCCAAAUAUAGCACGAUGAAUCAUUACAGGUUGUUUAAUGAGUUUCUCAGACCCGGCAUUGUCUCCCGCAUCUGUGCGAUAAUAUAAUUUAAAUCGUUGAGGUAAAUUAAAAUCUAAUUGAAUAGUUGCCGUUUGAUGCCACUUUCCACGAGCAUCUGCAACCAUUACAUCGAUCUUAGGACCGUAAAAAGCACCAUCUCCUUCAUUGAUGAUCCACGUUUCACCACUUUCUUGUAAAGCCUCUCGCAACCCGUUUUCUGCUUCAUUCCAUGUAUCUAAAGAACCGAUAUGCUCUUCAGGUCGGGUGCUAAGGUAUAGUUUUAGUUUGUUCAUUCCCAAUAAAGAAUAAACUUGCUUCACAAAAGUGAGAGUAUUUUUUAUCUCGUCUUUUAUGCUCUCGGGUGAACAAAAGAUAUGACCAUCAUCUUGAUGAAAGCAUCUUAAUCUAGUUAGUCCAGAAAGUGCGCCUGAUGCUUCAUUCCUAUGUAAUGGACUGAAAUCUGCAAACCGCAAGGGUAAUUCUUUGUAAGAACGUUCAGUACUAGCAUAUACAAUACAAUGUCCGGGACAAUUCAUAGGCUUUAAUCCAUAAGUGGCAUUGGAAUGCUCAUCCUCGACAUUACGGCUUUCUUCAACACGAAAUAUUUCUUUCUCGUAGUUUUGCCAAUGACCACUUUUUUCCCAUAAGUCCUUUUUAAAAAUUAAAGGCGUUAUAAUCUCUUCAAACCCAUGUAUUUGAUAUUGAGCUCGUAGAAAAUCAACUAAACGAUUAUAUAUACGCGUUCCGUGGGGUAAAAAAAAUAUUGAACCGGGAGUCAGUAUACUUGUAGUAUACAAUUUUUGGCGAGCUGCUAUAGUACGGUGAUCAUUCAAAGUUGAUUCGGGUUGCUUGAGGUUAUUAGCUUUUGUAGAAAAAGGCGUUGGCCCGAAUCGGGCUGUGUAAAUUUCAACCCGAUUGCAUGAAUGAGCGAAUGGAGUAUGCAAUUGAAAUUUUUUUAAUUUCAUCAUUCGUUAAAUCUAUAAGCUUUCUUUUACUAUUUUUUCAUCAAAAUGGUAAUUGGGGUUUUCAGAUGAUAUACGUAUAGGGUACUUUGUAUACGCUAUAUACGAUAAAUGUUUAAGUACCCUUCUAAACAUACUACACGUUCAACAAAAUACACCUCAACAAUUAAACUACAAGAAAAAGAAAAUAUUCAUUGGAUCUAGAAAGCAUACUACUUUGAUCACAAGUACAACUUAUCAAUUUUUCAAAGGACGAUUACAUAAACAUUGAUUAGAUAAUAUUAAUAAUUAUGAGCUUGUUCUAGCGCUGAAAUUGAUAAAAAGUCAAUAAGUGAUAGUGUUAACUAUCUAAGCAAAUCCAAAAAAGGAGCUUACGCUUCUUCACCGGAAUCAGAUACAAGGAUAAAGUUGUAGAAAAACUCAAUACUGUCCAUAUGAGCGUCGUAACGCAUAUUCUCAUUAAUAGUAUGACCAUUAAAAGAAUUCUUAGACGUAGAAUUAGUAGAAACAGGGGUCCAGCGGUAAAUAUUAGAAGUCAAGU